GUGCCAGCCGCCGCGGUAAGACGUAGGAGGCGAGCGUUAUCCGGAUUCACUGGGCGUAAAGCGCAUGUAGGCGGAUGUCUAAGUCGUGUGUUAAAGCCCCUGGCUCAACUGGGGGAGGUCAUGCGAGACUGGAUGACUUGAGGGCAACAGAGGCACGUGGAACUCCCGGUGUAGCGGUGGAAUGCGUAGAGAUCGGGAAGAACACCCGUGGCGAAGGCGGCGUGCUGGGUUGCAACUGACGCUGAGAUGCGAAAGUGUGGGGAGCAAACGGGAUUAGAUACCCUCGUAGUCC
RNAcentral lists this ribosomal RNA (292 nucleotides) under uncultured bacterium. Its description in RNAcentral is "partial 16S ribosomal RNA". It matches the Rfam family "Bacterial small subunit ribosomal RNA", at positions 505 to 796 of the family's 1533-position model. The record is from RNAcentral.